GCAGCAGGGCAGGAGAUCCAAGACUCCCCACGGGAAUCUCAGUUGCCUGCURUAAACACAACACCAUCCUUCCUCCCUUAAAACACAUAAAGAGAGAAUGCUAUGCUCACUCACCGUAGAAAUGGGACAUAAAUAACGUUUAAAACACUAAAUAAAAAAAGCAAGUUAUUUCAUAUUUUCUUAAUUUUCCCCUCACUUCUCCAUGCUCAUUACUAAUUAUUUUAGUUUUUUUUUUCCUCUAGUCUUACUUUAAAAAGUUAAACUGGGAAAAAGGUUCUCUAUUCAGCGUCAUUCAACAUCAAGCUUUUGUGGUAAUUGGUAAUGCUACUUGUGAUCAAGUUAAUCUUUUGAAGUCUUUUCCUGAAGCCUCUUGUAGGAAAACGUGUUAUUUCGAAGUAUUCCUUUUGCCAUAAGAUAUUUCUUCCUCUCCUCCAGUAACACAGAUUUAUAAAGGAACCCCAAACACUGGAUUAGUAUUCUACAGGUGCAGCACCUCCAAAAAAGAGGUGAAAUAUGGUCAUUCUCUAGCACAGAAGAUAAUCUUCCAGUACACAAUUCCAGUGAAAGUCAUCCUGCCCCACAGCCAUGCAAAUGUUCUGACAUACAAAUGUUCAUUGCCGCCUAUUACAUUCCUCUGCUGA
This 641-nucleotide long non-coding RNA is filed under the name Apteryx rowi (Okarito brown kiwi). Its description in RNAcentral is "lncRNA (ENSARWG00000011334.1)". The record is from RNAcentral. Lineage: Eukaryota; Metazoa; Chordata; Aves; Apterygiformes; Apterygidae.